GACGAACGCUGGCGGCGUGCUUAACACAUGCCAGUCGAACGGUGAAGCGCCUUCCUUUUUGGUGGGUGUGGAUGAGUGGCGAACGGGUGAGUAACACGUGAGUAACCUGCCCCCUUCUUCUGGAUAACCGCAUGAAAGUGUGGCUAAUACGGGAUAUUCUGUGUCUGUCGCAUGAUGGGUCUGGGAAAGAUAUUGUUUCGGUGGGGGAUGGGCUCGCGGCCUAUCAGCUUGUUGGUGGGGUGAUGGCCUACCAAGGCGGUGACGGGUAGCCGGCCUGAGAGGGUGGACGGUCACACUGGGACUGAGACACGGCCCAGACUCCUACGGGAGGCAGCAGUGGGGAAUAUUGCACAAUGGGCGCAAGCCUGAUGCAGCGACGCCGCGUGAGGGAUGGAGGCCUUCGGGUUGUGAACCUCUUUCGCCAGUGAAGCAGGCCUGCCUCGUUUGUGGGUGGGUUGACGGUAGCUGGAUAAGAAGCGCCGGCUAACUACGUG
RNAcentral lists this ribosomal RNA (494 nucleotides) under uncultured bacterium. RNAcentral's name for it is "partial 16S ribosomal RNA". It matches the Rfam family "Bacterial small subunit ribosomal RNA", at positions 28 to 507 of the family's 1533-position model. The record is from RNAcentral.